AUGGGCGGAGAUUUGACAUGUACAGACCAAACCCACGAUAAAGCUCUGCAAAUAAACGGCUAGGUGGCCACUUCUGAGAUGUGGUGGAUGUUGGACAGGGUGAGCUGGGCCUCUUGAGUGGGAUAGGACCGUCUGCUGUUGAGCCACAGCCUUCCAAACACACCAGUGAUGAGCAGCAGAACCACCAGCAGACCACCCAGCACAAAGGUUUCAACGGGGGGCAUACCUGCAUCUGGAAUAGAGACAUACAUAGAGAAAUGGAGUAUUUCACAUAGAGGAGAAGAGAGAGGUAUUGACAGACCUCGGAAGUCAUGCAUCAUUCUGUAGCCAGCAUUCUGCACAUAUUAGGAACUCUGCGCCAGCAGAUUUCUCUAUGGGAGAAAUUAAAGGUUUGAAAAGGGAUCUACAACAGGGCAAGUUCUGCUGCUGAAGAUGACACAAGUUCACGCAAUCCAAUGACCCUCUGAGGCCUUACCUAACACCCUUCACCUGAGCUUAAUAUGGUGGUGUUCUUCCCAUGAGGGGAAACGGGAUUUCCUCGCCCUGGUCUGCAGCUUGGGUGGUGAAGACGUAGGAAAUUUCAGUGUGGGACGUGGUUUGCCUGCAGAUGGCACACUUUAUAGCUCUCUUUCGA
Molecule: long non-coding RNA, 634 nt
Organism: Colossoma macropomum (tambaqui)
Lineage: Eukaryota; Metazoa; Chordata; Actinopteri; Characiformes; Serrasalmidae
Exons: 5
Source: RefSeq, a predicted model, not a curated record